RNAcentral lists this ribosomal RNA (253 nucleotides) under uncultured bacterium. Its description in RNAcentral is "partial 16S ribosomal RNA". It matches the Rfam family "Bacterial small subunit ribosomal RNA", at positions 524 to 776 of the family's 1533-position model. The record is from RNAcentral. RNAcentral also lists the same sequence under 2 other names.
UACAGAGGUGGCGAGCGUUAUUCGGAAUUAUUGGGCGUAAAGGGCGCGUAGGCGGCUUGACAAGUCCCGGGUGAAAUCCCUCGGCUCAACCGAGGAACUGCCUUGGAAACUGUCUGGCUUGAGGCCGGGAGAGGGUAGUGGAAUUCCCAGUGUAGCGGUGAAAUGCGUAGAUACUGGGAGGAACACCGGUGGCGAAGGCGGCUACCUGGACCGGUUCUGACGCUGAGGCGCGAAAGCGUGGGUAGCAAACAGG